Panthera pardus (leopard) is the source of this 106-nucleotide unclassified non-coding RNA. It matches the Rfam family "Y RNA". From Rfam's summary of the family: Y RNAs are components of the Ro ribonucleoprotein particle (Ro RNP), in association with Ro60 and La proteins. The Y RNAs and Ro60 and La proteins are well conserved, but the function of the Ro RNP is not known. The record is from Ensembl. Lineage: Eukaryota; Metazoa; Chordata; Mammalia; Carnivora; Felidae.
AGCUGUCCAAAGGUAGUGAGUUAUCUCAAUUGACUGUUCAUAGUCAGAUGCACAUCAAAUUCGUUCCACCCUUCCCUCUUCUUACCACUGCACUGACUGGUCUUAA